GGAGAACCACAUGUCUUGGGUGGAGGAGGUCGGAUCGCCUGAAAAGCCCAUGCCAAAAUCCCCACAAACAAGACCAAUAAUAUUUUUGAAAAGAUCCCUGGAGGAAAUUUAAGAGAGCUGUUUUGCUUAGUUCUUCUAGUGUGAGCUCUGGCUGAAGCCGCAGAUAUCUUCCUGUUCACCCCUCCUGUCAUUUCUGGGCAAAAGGUUAAGCCUUGUGAUUUCUUCUCUUGGGUUGACUAUGGAAGGUGGCGAGGCAAGGGACUGGUCAAGGUCUUGUGCCCGUUACGGAUUGUUUGGAAGUUUCGAUGGAGGAGUUCUGAGCUGAAGUGAAGUAAAA
RNAcentral lists this unclassified non-coding RNA (337 nucleotides) under Hevea brasiliensis (rubber tree). The record is from RNAcentral. Lineage: Eukaryota; Viridiplantae; Streptophyta; Magnoliopsida; Malpighiales; Euphorbiaceae.